Molecule: unclassified non-coding RNA, 291 nt
Filed under: uncultured Helotiales
Lineage: Eukaryota; Fungi; Ascomycota; Leotiomycetes; Helotiales
Description: sequence contains ITS1
Rfam family: 5.8S ribosomal RNA (bases 1-105)
Source: RNAcentral
GAAAUGCGAUAAGUAAUGUGAAUUGCAGAAUUCAGUGAAUCAUCGAAUCUUUGAACGCACAUUGCGCCCGGUGGUAUUCCGCCGGGCAUGCCUGUUCGAGCGUCAUUAUAACCACUCAAGCCUGGCUUGGUAUUGGGGUACGCGAUCCCGCGGCCCCUAAAAUCAGUGGCGGUGCCGGUUGGCUCUAAGCGUAGUAAUACUCCUCGCUACAGACCCCUUCCGGUUCCCUGCCAGAACCCCCCAUUUUUACAGGUUGACCUCGGAUCAGGUAGGGAUACCCGCUGAACUUAA